RNAcentral lists this ribosomal RNA (447 nucleotides) under uncultured bacterium. RNAcentral's name for it is "partial 16S ribosomal RNA". It matches the Rfam family "Bacterial small subunit ribosomal RNA", at positions 330 to 792 of the family's 1533-position model. The record is from RNAcentral.
UCCAGACUCCUACGGGAGGCAGCAGUGGGGAAUAUUGGGCAAUGGGCGCAAGCCUGACCCAGCAACGCCGCGUGAAGGAAGAAGGCUUUCGGGUUGUAAACUUCUUUUAAGAGGGAAGAGAAGAAGACGGUACCUCUUGAAUAAGCCACGGCUAACUACGUGCCAGCAGCCGCGGUAAUACGUAGGUGGCAAGCGUUAUCCGGAAUUAUUGGGCGUAAAGAGCGCGCAGGUGGUUAAUUAAGUCUGAUGUGAAAGCCCACGGCUUAACCGUGGAGGGUCAUUGGAAACUGGCUGACUUGAGUGCAGAAGAGGGAAGUGGAAUUCCAUGUGUAGCGGUGAAAUGCGUAGAGAUAUGGAGGAACACCAGUGGCGAAGGCGGCUUCCUGGUCUGCAACUGACACUGAGGCGCGAAAGCGUGGGGAGCAAACAGGAUUAGAUACCCCAGUA